Molecule: long non-coding RNA, 532 nt
Organism: Suricata suricatta (meerkat)
Lineage: Eukaryota; Metazoa; Chordata; Mammalia; Carnivora; Herpestidae
Exons: 4
Source: RefSeq, a predicted model, not a curated record
CUUCGCCAGGCUUCCAGCUGACGGACCCUGGGGGCUGAGCUGGGAAGGGAGUUAAGGCGGCCCAGGAUCCACCACCAGCCGUGGCCUCCACCCUUCUCAGGCCAGACUUCCAAUGGAAAAACAAACCCACCCGUCUACACUGGAUGCCAGAGGCAGGCUGGCACGCCCUGACUCGGUGCUGGACCGGCAGUGAGCUGGGCACACGCAUAUAUGGAAUAAGACUCAGACACUGAGGGGUGUACAUGUUGGGACCAGAGUCUGUACACCUGACAACACCCCCAGGGGGUGACACAGCUCCUCCUGACUGUCCAUCCUUUCUGGGCUCAUGAAGCAGCCAAGUGUCAACUCUCUUGGACUUUCCUCUCCCCAGGGUGGUCCUGUCUCCCAGGGCCGCAGACGGCUGCACAGCUCUGGAGCACCCCAGAGGCCAAAGCUCUGCGUCCAUGUCACAUCCAGCCGCACCUUCCGGGAGAAGCAUGAGCCAUUGCAAGGAGAACGUUGGUUCAGAGCGAGCUGGCCCUGGGUUCCGAUC